Molecule: transfer RNA, 86 nt
Filed under: Chloroflexota bacterium
Lineage: Bacteria; Bacillati; Chloroflexota
Description: Chloroflexi bacterium (hot springs metagenome) tRNA-Ser
Rfam family: tRNA
About the family: Transfer RNA (tRNA) molecules are approximately 80 nucleotides in length. Their secondary structure includes four short double-helical elements and three loops (D, anti-codon, and T loops). Further hydrogen bonds mediate the characteristic L-shaped molecular structure. tRNAs have two regions of fundamental functional importance: the anti-codon, which is responsible for specific mRNA codon recognition, and the 3' end, to which the tRNAs corresponding amino acid is attached (by aminoacyl-tRNA synthetases). tRNAs cope with the degeneracy of the genetic code in two manners: having more than one tRNA (with a specific anti-codon) for a particular amino acid; and 'wobble' base-pairing, i.e. permitting non-standard base-pairing at the 3rd anti-codon position.
Source: RNAcentral
GGAGAGGUGACCGAGUGGUUUAUGGUGCCGCUCUCGAAAAGCGGUAGGCUUAAAAUGCCUCGUGGGUUCGAAUCCCACCCUCUCCG